Molecule: ribosomal RNA, 409 nt
Filed under: Allomuricauda sp. 5M7.13
Lineage: Bacteria; Pseudomonadati; Bacteroidota; Flavobacteriia; Flavobacteriales; Flavobacteriaceae
Description: bacterial SSU rRNA
Rfam family: Bacterial small subunit ribosomal RNA
Source: RNAcentral
UCAGCAGCCCGCGGUAAUACGGAGGGUCCGAGCGUUAUCCGGAAUCAUUGGGUUUAAAGGGUCCGUAGGCGGGCCUGUAAGUCAGGGGUGAAAGUUUGUGGCUCAACCAUAAAAUUGCCUUUGAUACUGCAGGUCUUGAGUCAUGGUGGGGUUGCCGGAACAUGUGGUGUAGCGGUGAAAUGCAUAGAUAUCACAUAGAACACCGAUCGCGAAGGCAGGUGACCAACCAUGUACUGACGCUGAUGGACGAAAGCGUGGGUAGCGAACGGGAUUAGAUACCCCGGUAGUCCACGCCGUAAACGAUGGAUACUAGCUGUGGGGACUUCGGUCUCCGUGGCCAAGCGAAAGUGAUAAGUAUCCCACCUGGGGAGUACGUUCGCAAGAAUGAAACUCAAAGGAAAUUGACGGA